RNAcentral lists this ribosomal RNA (432 nucleotides) under uncultured bacterium. RNAcentral describes it as "bacterial SSU rRNA". It matches the Rfam family "Bacterial small subunit ribosomal RNA", at positions 62 to 504 of the family's 1533-position model. The record is from RNAcentral.
UCGAACGGAAAGGCUGGGUGCUUGCACCCGGUACUCGAGUGGCGAACGGGUGAGUAACACGUGGGUGAUCUGCCCUGCACUUCGGGAUAAGCCUGGGAAACUGGGUCUAAUACCGGAUAGGACCAUUGGUUGGUACUGGUGGUGGAAAGUUUUUCGGUGCAGGAUGAGCUCGCGGCCUAUCAGCUUGUUGGUGGGGUAAUGGCCUACCAAGGCGGCGACGGGUAGCCGGCCUGAGAGGGUGGACGGCCACAUUGGGACUGAGACACGGCCCAGACUCCUACGGGAGGCAGCAGUGGGGAAUAUUGCACAAUGGGCGCAAGCCUGAUGCAGCGACGCCGCGUGGGGGACGACGGCCUUCGGGUUGUAAACUCCUUUCAACCAUGACGAAGCUUUCGGGUGACGGUACCCGGCCAGAAAGCCACGGCUAACUAC